AGAGUUAAACAGUACGUGAAAUUGUUGAAAGGGAAACGAUUGAAGUCAGUCAUGCUAGUGAGGAAUCAACUUGGUGGUUUACUUCCUUGUGUAUUUUUUUACUUGGCAGGUUAGCAUCAAUUUUGGUUGUCAUCAAAUAAUUGGGGGAAUGUGGCUUUUCUUCGGGAAAGUGUUAUAGACCUUGAUAGAUGUGGCGACUGAGAUUGAGGUUUGCAGCGGAUGCCUUUGGCUAGUCAUCUGUCUUCUGACCGUCACCUCGCUUUUGACAGCUUGCUGAUGAUUGUGGGAUUUGGUGGCCUAGAAGUUAGAAUGUACAUAAAUUCGCUAAGGAUGCUGACGUAAUGGCUUUAAACGA
RNAcentral lists this unclassified non-coding RNA (355 nucleotides) under uncultured Glomeromycotina. Its description in RNAcentral is "sequence contains 28S rRNA gene". The record is from RNAcentral. Lineage: Eukaryota; Fungi; Glomeromycota.